GAAAGUGUACUGUCACCUAUGAAUAUGGUGACACCCAAAAGACAUUCAAAAUAAAGCCUUUGCAAACUCAUUCUCUCAUUCUGCCAAACCAAUUUGUGUUACACUGCCCUCUGUUGUAAGAAAAACGACAUUGCAAUGUGAGUGAUUUUUUUUUCUUUUUUUGACCGGGACCCUUAAAAAUAAACACAUCGAAUACUCCCUCUACUAGAAGGUACUAGAAGUCUCCCAGGUCUGCUAUAUUAUGGUGAUAUUGUAAAAUCUAAAAAUGACAGACUAUACCAGGAGGUCAGAGGUAGGUGUCAAAAACAGAAGACUUUAAUAUUUAGCAAUUAGGAAUAUAUAUAUUUGUUUAAAAACCUUUGACUCAAUAAAGCUCAAAUGUAGCUUUUAAGGACUCUAAAGAACAUUUUUUAGCUUUGCCCAAUUUAAAAUGAAGCAAUUACUUGUGACCCCUUAUGGGUAGUGAGCUAUUUAACUAUGUGAUAUUUUGGCUUCUUGGAUUUCUUAUUUGUAGGAUUUGUGAAGGCAUGUAUAGGUGAAAGUGUCCAGUAUUUGACCAGAUCAAUAAAAACAAACACAUUUCCUAUAUCAGAUGGUUUCAGUAUUUCUUAUUAAUCCCCAGGUGGAGACCCCAGGCCUUUAGGAACAAGUGAGUCCGCGGGUUCUUACUCUCUUUAUCCUUAUAGACAGCCCCUGUGUAUCCUACAUGACCAUAGGCCUUCUAUGGCAUGCGCUGCCAGUGUCCAUGUACACAGAUUUUAUUUUAUUUUUUUAAGACAGCUGAAAAAAUAAUAAUAGGCUCUCGGCACGACAUCUGGUAGCUGCGUCAAAGGGAGGUAGUUUACGGUAAAACGGCGCCCAUUACCAUGUGAUUUCACCGAUGUUUGUAAACAUGCGUCAGCCACAUGUGAUUCUGGCGAUGAGGAAAGACUCUCCAGAAGCCUGACCAACCAGCGACCGGGGGAGUGUCAGGGGCGGGGUUCCCGUGUUGCGCUAUGGAAAAUCGUUAGGGGGAUACACUGUGAUAAACGUACGCAUCGAGAUUGCUAAUAGCAACAGUAACAGGCAGAAACGGGAACCCAGUGGACUGACCGUUGACCGAAGACCGGGUCUGACUGACGCCGGCAGGGAAAUGGACGAGACUCCUUCGGCACGGGAACAGCCUUGGGAUAAACACGACCUGUUUCAUCUCACAGCACAGUCAACCCCGUUUGGACCAGGAGCAGGACUGGAUGCCUGAGGCAGACCCAGGAGAGGACACAGUAUCCUAUUGUGCACUACAAAGAAGUCUACAGGGAGCUGCGGAGAUCUAUUUUUCCACACUAUGAUUCAUAGACAGUUUUUGUUGGGGUUCAGUGCUGGUGCCAGUCUGCUGUCCUGCCCUUUCUUACACCGAGAUCCUGGUCAUCUGAUGCACUUGUAACGCAAGGAAUUGAGCUGCUGUGUCAUUCUUAGAUGUGCUGGCCGUGACUCAGUAGUUCAUCUCAUUGGUCUCAGUGCCAGCAAACAGUCUGCAUCCUCUUUAGUUUUCGGUUCUUUUUCUUUUUCUCUCUCUCUCUUUGGAAAGAGCUAGAGUCCCAGGUUUACAGGACAACAGCAUCAGCGCAAACAGGGACCUUGGGGAAUAUCUCAAACUUAGCAGUGUAUAGACUAAAAUCUGCUGCGUUUUUAGCAUGUAUUGGUUUCUGUGGUGAGUUAAAACAUAGUUUGUGGGGAGAUUUCACUUCACAGUGUGAUAAAACAGGUUGGUAUUCUGUUUCACAUUAAAAUAACCAAAAGUUGAGAUGAUGGUUAUCAGACAUUCUUUUAUGAAAUUUCAACACCACGCCUAAACUUGAAAGGCAGUGUUACAAACAAACUGCAGAAGUUUACACAGGCAAAAGAGGUUUUUAUUGCGUGUGAGUACGAAAUCAGAGUUCUCCCUAUCAGAUGGCCAUGAGAAGAACAGAUAUGUGCCCUGAAGAGUUGGAAUUUGUUUUCCGUUGUAAAUGCAGCCAGAACAAAAAGGAACAGGUUAUGCAACUAACUGCCUGCAUAGCAUGUUUCUGUCUCAUUGUAGUGAGAUCCAUUACCAUCUUACAUUGUUCAUCGAAAUAUGUUUUGUCCAGAAGAUGGAUCUGUAAAGACAGUAUGCCCUAGAACAUGUCCAUCCUUAAGCAGUUUGACAAGAACGUCUCUCUGAGGGAAAAUUAAAUUAGUAUCAAUUUAAUUAUAUUUCUUCAUACAAAUUAAUUAACAAAAUAAUUACCUUAGUAAAAUCCACUCAACAUGUUGAUUCAUGUUGUUGUCUCAGGUCUAAAUGUUUGUCUUAACCCUUAACCCUUUUUUCUAAUUUCAGAUGGGAAAGUGGCAAUGUUUUUUCUUAAAGGCAUCCUCCCCAGGGAACUGGUUUCAGAUGGUGUCUUAGAGUAUAAAAUCCCAUCUAGCACCAUUUGAAAUCGGUGUUCUUGAGCGGGAACAGACUUCAGGAAUGCUGACAGCGUACAACCAACUAAGCAACCAGUCUCAUUCACUAACUUGCUAAAAGGUUUGGGACUGCAAGUUUGGUGACAAUGUUUGCAUGUGUAUUUUUUACAAACUAUUCCAGAUUUAUGAUACAUUCAACAAUAAAUUAUCAUCAGUCAAACAGUCAUACAAACAGACUGAGGGAUAUUCACUGACGAUGGCUGUUUAUGACAGUCAGUGCUCUCGACCAGUUGCUCAUACAGCUCGCGUUUCACUGAUCAGAAGACAACAGUGUCAAAGUCCAGUCCUCUGCCCACCUGACCCCCUCUCACCAAGGCUGACCGUUUUCCUCUGGUGUUCAGAGUUUCCAUCAUGUCUAGCACCAUUUGAAAUCGGUUACAAUGUGGAGGGACUAUCAACAGAGUUUAUUUGCCUGACCAGACAGUCUCUGCCACCCAGUACCAAGCAACAGGGACAGCCACAUGGACUCACAUCAACUCUGAUCCCAAGUCCUAGUGUGCUGUGCUUUACAUAUUAGUUAACAUAAACCUGCAACUGGCAAGAGCCACAGCUGUUGGGCAUGCACAUGCAGUAUAUACACAUGAACAUUGCACGUGUACAGGAUAUACAUACAGAUAUAUUUUAUUCUGUCUGUUAUUCCUAUUUUAUCUCAUUUUAUUUUAUUUGUUACUUCCUUUUUUCUGAUGUAUAGGCAUGCAAAGAAAUUUCUGUAAUGGUAACAACAUUCUUUGUGCUGCUGUGUCAAAUUACAGGGGCUCAAUAAAGGUGCAGCUUAUCCUAAACCACCAGAAGAUGGCAGCAUUGAGCUGCAAUUCUUGCUAUCCAAGGCUACUGAGAUGGUUGGGAUUCUUGAAGCAGUGAAUGGUGACCCUGAUCAGGUGCAAGAAAAAAAAGAACAAAACACACCUUAAUGCCGAGGAGAUUCUCUUCUUUUUCCAUGUUGCUGUCACUCCCAUACUGUAGUUUUCUUCUAGGGACAAAUGAUAAAGAAAGCGAUUAUCUGGUUAAAUGCUUCAGUAGUUCAGAGGUUGUGUAUCUGCCCAGUGAAAAUUUACAGUUAAAUGAACAAAUUUCUAUACUGUAUUUCCAUUAAUAAAAUUAAUAUAUAAUAAAACUGAAUCGCACCGGC
Molecule: long non-coding RNA, 3595 nt
Organism: Lates calcarifer (barramundi perch)
Lineage: Eukaryota; Metazoa; Chordata; Actinopteri; Centropomidae
Exons: 2
Source: RefSeq, a predicted model, not a curated record